UACGGAGGGUGCAAACGUUGCUCGGAAUCAUUGGGCGUAAAGGGCGCGUAGGCGGUUUUGUAAGUCGGAUGUGAAAGCCCAGGGCUCAACCUUGGAAGUGCAUCCGAAACUGCAUAACUGGAGUCUCGGAGAGGGUGGUGGAAUUCCCAGUGUAGAGGUGAAAUUCGUAGAUAUUGGGAGGAACACCGGUGGCGAAGGCGACCACCUGGACGAAGACUGACGCUGAGGCGCGAGAGCGUGGGGAGCAAACAGG
This 253-nucleotide ribosomal RNA is filed under the name uncultured bacterium. RNAcentral describes it as "partial 16S ribosomal RNA". It matches the Rfam family "Bacterial small subunit ribosomal RNA", at positions 524 to 776 of the family's 1533-position model. The record is from RNAcentral.